RNAcentral lists this long non-coding RNA (387 nucleotides) under Nicotiana benthamiana. RNAcentral describes it as "long non-coding RNA (NBEN_LNC024136)". The record is from RNAcentral. Lineage: Eukaryota; Viridiplantae; Streptophyta; Magnoliopsida; Solanales; Solanaceae.
GUUUGUCCCUCGUUUCCGGCAACUCCGUUUUAACGCAUUCACUUGCAAGUAUCUUCCAUCCUUUCAAAAAUUGUUUUUCUAUGAGGAAAAUUGUAAUACCAUUUCCCUUCCUGCUUGCUGUUGUUUUGCGCUGCUUCAUUUGUACUCUGACAGUUAUAUCUCUCUCCAAACGAUACUGGUAUAUGUGCCAACAUUGUGUUCUUGAUAACUCUCUUAAUGAUUGUUUGUGUCUAAUUGAUACUCUGAAUAGGCAUGGAGAAUUACUUUAACAUUAUAGUCCCUUGAAUUGGUCUAUGUGAUGCACUACAUUGCAACAACUUUGUCAGUUUCUAGCAAGCCUUUCAUUUUUUGUUAUCUAAAUCUUGUUGUGAUCGUUGUUAAGUAUCG